CCUACGGGGGGCAGCAGUGGGGAAUAUUGCACAAUGGGCGCAAGCCUGAUGCAGCGACGCCGCGUGGGGGAUGACGGCCUUCGGGUUGUAAACUCCUUUCGUUAGGGACGAAGCCACACUUUUUUUGGGUGUGGUGACGGUACCUUUGUUAAGAAGCACCGGCUAACUACGUGCCAGCAGCCGCGGUAAUACGUAGGGUGCGAGCGUUGUCCGGAAUUACUGGGCGUAAAGAGCUCGUAGGUGGUUUGUUGCGUCGUCUGUGAAAUUCCGGGGCUUAACUUCGGGGUGGCAGGCGAUACGGGCAUAACUAGAGUGCUGUAGGGGAGACUGGAAUUCCUGGUGUAGCGGUGGAAUGCGCAGAUAUCAGGAGGAACACCGAUGGCGAAGGCAGGUCUCUGGGCAGUAACUGAC
RNAcentral lists this ribosomal RNA (411 nucleotides) under uncultured Treponema sp. RNAcentral describes it as "bacterial SSU rRNA". It matches the Rfam family "Bacterial small subunit ribosomal RNA", at positions 338 to 744 of the family's 1533-position model. The record is from RNAcentral. Lineage: Bacteria; Pseudomonadati; Spirochaetota; Spirochaetia; Treponematales; Treponemataceae.